RNAcentral lists this ribosomal RNA (253 nucleotides) under uncultured bacterium. RNAcentral describes it as "partial 16S ribosomal RNA". It matches the Rfam family "Bacterial small subunit ribosomal RNA", at positions 524 to 776 of the family's 1533-position model. The record is from RNAcentral.
UACGGAGGGUGCUAGCGUUGUCCGGAAUUACUGGGCGUAAAGGGCGCGUAGGCGGCCUGGUAAGUUGGGGGUGAAAUCCUGCGGCUUAACCGCAGGGCUGCCUUCUAAACUGUUAGGCUUGAGCACGGUAGAGGCAGAUGGAAUUCCCGGUGUAGCGGUGGAAUGCGUAGAGAUCGGGAAGAACAUCAGUGGCGAAGGCGGUCUGCUGGGCCGUUGCUGACGCUGAGGCGCGACAGCGUGGGGAGCAAACAGG